GACGAACGCUGGCGGCGUGCUUAACACAUGCAAGUCGAGCGGUAAGGCCCUUUCGGGGGUACACGAGCGGCGAACGGGUGAGUAACACGUGGGUGACCUGCCCUUAGCUCUGGGAUAAGCCUGGGAAACUGGGUCUAAUACCGGAUAUGACUCCAUAACGCAUGUUGUGGGGUGGAAAGCCUUGUGCGGCUAGGGAUGGGCCCGCGGCCUAUCAGCUUGUUGGUGGGGUGAUGGCCACCAAGGCGACGACGGGUAGCCGGCCUGAGAGGGCGACCGGCCACACUGGGACUGAGACACGGCCCAGACUCCUACGGGAAGGCAGCAGUGGGGAAUCUUGCGCAAUGGGCGAAAGCCUGACGCAGCGACGCCGCGU
Molecule: ribosomal RNA, 373 nt
Filed under: uncultured bacterium
Lineage: Bacteria
Description: bacterial SSU rRNA
Rfam family: Bacterial small subunit ribosomal RNA
Source: RNAcentral